Molecule: ribosomal RNA, 1372 nt
Filed under: uncultured bacterium
Lineage: Bacteria
Description: bacterial SSU rRNA
Rfam family: Bacterial small subunit ribosomal RNA
Source: RNAcentral
GAUGAACGCUGGCGGCGUGCCUAAUACAUGCAAGUCGAGCGAACGGACGAGAAGCUUGCUUCUCUGAUGUUAGCGGCGGACGGGUGAGUAACACGUGGAUAACCUACCUAUAAGACUGGGAUAACUUCGGGAAACCGGAGCUAAUACCGGAUAAUAUUUUGAACCGCAUGGUUCAAAAGUGAAAGACGGUCUUGCUGUCACUUAUAGAUGGAUCCGCGCUGCAUUAGCUAGUUGGUAAGGUAACGGCUUACCAAGGCAACGAUGCAUAGCCGACCUGAGAGGGUGAUCGGCCACACUGGAACUGAGACACGGUCCAGACUCCUACGGGAGGCAGCAGUAGGGAAUCUUCCGCAAUGGGCGAAAGCCUGACGGAGCAACGCCGCGUGAGUGAUGAAGGUCUUCGGAUCGUAAAACUCUGUUAUUAGGGAAGAACAUAUGUGUAAGUAACUGUGCACAUCUUGACGGUACCUAAUCAGAAAGCCACGGCUAACUACGUGCCAGCAGCCGCGGUAAUACGUAGGUGGCAAGCGUUAUCCGGAAUUAUUGGGCGUAAAGCGCGCGUAGGCGGUUUUUUAAGUCUGAUGUGAAAGCCCACGGCUCAACCGUGGAGGGUCAUUGGAAACUGGAAAACUUGAGUGCAGAAGAGGAAAGUGGAAUUCCAUGUGUAGCGGUGAAAUGCGCAGAGAUAUGGAGGAACACCAGUGGCGAAGGCGACUUUCUGGUCUGUAACUGACGCUGAUGUGCGAAAGCGUGGGGAUCAAACAGGAUUAGAUACCCUGGUAGUCCACGCCGUAAACGAUGAGUGCUAAGUGUUAGGGGGUUUCCGCCCCUUAGUGCUGCAGCUAACGCAUUAAGCACUCCGCCUGGGGAGUACGACCGCAAGGUUGAAACUCAAAGGAAUUGACGGGGACCCGCACAAGCGGUGGAGCAUGUGGUUUAAUUCGAAGCAACGCGAAGAACUUUACCAAAUCUUGACAUCCUUUGACAACUCUAGAGAUAGAGCUUUCCCCUUCGGGGGACAAAGUGACAGGUGGUGCAUGGUUGUCGUCAGCUCGUGUCGUGAGAUGUUGGGUUAAGUCCCGCAACGAGCGCAACCCUUAAGCUUAGUUGCCAUCAUUAAGUUGGGCACUCUAAGUUGACUGCCGGUGACAAACCGGAGGAAGGUGGGGAUGACGUCAAAUCAUCAUGCCCCUUAUGAUUUGGGCUACGCACGUGCUACAAUGGACAAUACAAAGGGCAGCGAAACCGCGAGGUCAAGCAAAUCCCAUAAAGUUGUCCUCAGUUCGGAUUGUAGUCUGCAACUCGACUACAUGAAGCUGGAAUCGCUAGUAAUCGUAGAUCAGCAUGCUACGGUGAAUACGUUCCCGGGUCU